CCAGCAAUGAGUUUCUCCAAUUGUAAACGCGGCUUCUAGCAUCAUUUUUGUAUUAGGUUUUUAUUUUUGUUGCUUCGUCUCCGCCAUUCGAGAAUUAGACAAAACCAGAGUUCUGAGAGAGAUGUUUCACCUUCUUACUAUCAAUCUCUACCAGUUACAGAUUCCCCAUCUUAAAUUCCUUCUUAAAUCAUCACCCACAAUCUACCUUGAAUGCAAGCUUCUUCAUGCAAGAAGGUGGGUUUUCGAUUAUUAAAAAGACCGGACAAUGCUCCUCCACCGUUCAAGUCCGGUUGAUCCGCUUUUGGGAGGCCAGUAGUGGCAAACUCAUGGGAGUGGAAAAUAAUCUAAUUCCAAAGAUCAGCAGCUUCUUCCCUUGGCUGUCAUCCUCUCAAUCCGUGAAUACACCAAAGUUCCUUUCUGAUUUGAAGUCCGGCCGCUUCUCCUCCAUCGUCCAAAUGUCGAAGGAAGAUGAAGAGAUGUUGAGGACAGCUUUGUCGGCUUUCAGGGCUAAAUAAGAGAAGAACGAGAAGAAGAAGAUGGAGGUUUGGAAAAGGAUUUAAGCUCAGCUUUGUUGUGUCGAAGAAGAGACCGAGCGAUUGGUGAGGUUUAUAUAAUUUUAUCAUCCUCAUCAUAAUCUUAUUUAUUCUUCAAAUUUUUGUUUCAGCAUUUAACAAUUGGAUUGAACAAAAAAAAAGUUUUCUUUUUUGUUUUGUUCCAUAAAGGAUCGGACUUUAAUGUUAGGCCUAGAACUGAAGUGAUCAGUAUCACGAAAGGCAUGAUAUAAUAUAUGGUUUUGGGGGCUUAUAUGAGUUAUGUGGAUCAAAGCUCUUUCUUUUUUUGUGAGAAGAACCAUUUCUUCUUCUCGGUAAUGUUAUACUUGAUGACCAAGAAGCUUAGUGGUGGAAUUACAUAUCAAAAACUUGAAGGUUUAGCUGACCCCAUGAGGAAAGAAGUUGCUUUGGCUAGAAAGGAGAUUGAUUCUGUCAAUAAAUAAUUAAAGCCAUUGGCAACGUAAGCUCUCUCUCCAUUAUCAUUUCAUCUUUGAAUCUGCCAUUGAUAGAUUUUUGUGUGUCAGGUUGUUUAAAGCUUCUGCCUCCUGAAGAGCUUGAGCAUCUUGAUAUCUUAUAGCGUAAAGAGUCAAGCUCCCCUGUUAAGAAACUUCUGUACCCAACCGGUGCAGAUUCAAGCUCUUUUGUUCGUGGGAACGAGAUGCGUUUUAAUUUGUUUACUGGGAACCAAAAUUUUGCUGAGAGAGAAUAGUUUUCAGGUGAGUGAGACAGUUUCGGUGCACUGUGGGGUUUUCAACGAGAAUGGAGGGUUUAGUAUUUCGGAUGAAGAUAAUAAGUAUAUGCGAAGUUGUAAAAUUGUAGUCUCCGCAUGUGCCUUUGGACCUUUGGUGGGGGAGAUAACCUUUACCAACCCAUUGGAUUGUCUAAGGCAUCAACUCAAAAGGUUUGCUACGUUGCGUUUUGGGAUGAUGUUACACUCGCAACGAAGGAAGCAGAGGGUCAUAAAACUGGCGAGAAUUCUCUUUGGAUAAAUUCAUAGAUAAUAUGAGAAGUUUCAUAAAAGCAAAAGCAACAAAUAUUCAUAUGCCAUAACAGUAAAUGGUCAUCAAAAUCAGUAGAAUCAAAUAUAAUAUGUGACAUAAAUUAUUUUGGAAGGUGGCAUGCUCACAUGCGAUAUGUAUAUGCUAUUGUUCAUCUUUGGCAGCCAGAAAAUUACAUUGUUAUAAAUUAAAGAACCUUCUUCGUUUGAUUA
Long non-coding RNA from Brassica oleracea var. oleracea, 1761 nucleotides. RefSeq lists it as uncharacterized. NCBI's taxonomy places the organism in Eukaryota, Viridiplantae, Streptophyta, Magnoliopsida, Brassicales, Brassicaceae. The transcript is spliced from 4 exons. The record is from RefSeq and is a predicted model, not a curated record.